Molecule: ribosomal RNA, 464 nt
Filed under: uncultured bacterium
Lineage: Bacteria
Description: partial 16S ribosomal RNA
Rfam family: Bacterial small subunit ribosomal RNA
Source: RNAcentral
GACGAACGCUGGCGGCGUGCUUAACACAUGCAAGUCGAACGGAAAGGCCCUUUCGGGGGUACACGAGUGGCGAACGGGUGAGUAACACGUGGGUGAUCUGCCCUUCACUUUGGGAUAAGCCUGGGAAACUGGGUCUAAUACCGGAUAGGACUACGCGAUGCAUGUCGUGUGGUGGAAAGCUUUUGCGGUGUGGGAUGGGCCCGCGGCCUAUCAGCUUGUUGGUGGGGUGAUGGCCUACCAAGGCGACGACGGGUAGCCGGCCUGAGAGGGUGUCCGGCCACACUGGGACUGCGAUACGGCCCAGACUCCUACGGGAGGCAGCAGUGGGGAAUAUUGCACAAUGGGCGCAAGCCUGAUGCAGCGACGCCGCGUGGGGGAUGACGGCCUUCGGGUUGUAAACCCCUUUCAGCACAGACGAAGCGUAAGUGACGGUAUGUGCACAAGAAGCACCGGCCAACUACGUG